UUGUAAAUUUAUAUGGCCGUGGCAUAUAUUAUCACAAUGCUCGUUACAUUUCUUGUCUUACUUGUUGACAAAGAAUAAACGCUGCAGGUAUAUGCAAUGUUUGUUUAAAUAAAUCGCAUUUAACUCUUGUUGAAAGUUUAAAAUAUUAAAUAUUUCUUUUCGAUGAUAGAAAUAAUGGAAUACUGGAGCUCGAAUCUACCCUUUUUAUUGAAUUAAGAACGGUUAUUUCAACUUUUAGUAAACCUAUCAGGAAUACAAAGUUAAUAAGUAUUUAGAAAUACGAAGCAAGGAACUAGGUCAUUUUAUUGUCAAAAAUAAAAGUAAAAACACACCGUUUGGAAACUACUGAAAAUAUUCAUAGGAAGUAGUGAAUCUGUCUGAACGACUUAACAUGGUUGACGAAAAAGAGUUUUUUAGGGAACACUCCAGCAGUGGAAAAUACCAGAAAAAAUGCUAUGUUUUAAUGCAUAUACGCCAUCUCGAGGAUGACAGAAAUCACACAAUAGAAUUUAUGAAAACACAUGAAAGAGAGAAGAACAAAAAAACAGAAUAAAAAAGAAAUUACCAUUCCGCGUUUCAGUGCCUGAUCAAAAAGAGCCGAUUUAGCAUGGCGAGGAAAAUUUUGAAGAAACGCGAAGCGGAACGCGUUGACGCCGGGUAACUGGAGGCGGCAAGGAUGCUCAAGCAUCUAAAAAGUUAAAACGUACGGACGCUUUGAAUGAAUCAACAGACAUAGGAAAUGAAAUUAAAGUACCGGACGAGAAAGAUUUCCGCGAUAAUGCAAAGAAAUCGCCGAGGACAAAGAGAUAAAUCAAGCAUUUGCUGUAAAUCGCAUAAUUUUAUAUCUAAUCAUUGAUAACUUAUCACAAUAAUCCCCAAAUUUAUCACGGGUUUAUCUACAAAAGAAAUCGAUAAUAACUUUGCGAACAUAUUUGAGCACACUGUGAUAGUCCUCCAUUAGACGUCAACCAAGGCACAAGAACAAUGCAAAGGCAAAAUCUUUUCGCCGUUACCAUAUUUGUGGUGGUCAUAUUCUCUACACUACAUUCAAGCAAGGCAUUGACAUGUUAUGGUUCGUUGCCAAAUGCAUCAUAUACACCGAUAUUGUGUGAAUACCCUCUGGAUGGAUCAUGUGUUAAAUUUACAAAUAAGCUAACUACCGAUUUACGUGGAUGUGCUAUUAAAGAUUUCUGUGAAACGCAAAAGUCAGUCUACAAGUUCAGCAGUUGUUAUGAAUGCCAUACUGAUCUAUGCAAUGCUUCCGCCAAAAAUAUGGUGUCAGCUAUCACAAUAAUAACUUCAGGAUUACUUGCUCUGUUCUGGUCAAUUCAAUAAUUUUUAUAAAUUUUCUUUAUGAUUUAAUCUUGAAUUUAAUUUAAUGCAGCUUGUUACAUCACAAUCUUCUUAAUGACAGAUCAUAAUCUGUUAAUGUAAUGUUCAAAUAAUGUUAUUAAAGUAUUUAAUUCUGUUUAA
RNAcentral lists this unclassified non-coding RNA (1473 nucleotides) under Monomorium pharaonis (pharaoh ant). Its description in RNAcentral is "uncharacterized LOC105830080, transcript variant X4". Lineage: Eukaryota; Metazoa; Arthropoda; Insecta; Hymenoptera; Formicidae. The record is from RNAcentral.